This 346-nucleotide long non-coding RNA is filed under the name Gossypium raimondii (Peruvian cotton). RNAcentral's name for it is "long non-coding RNA (GRAI_LNC002863)". Lineage: Eukaryota; Viridiplantae; Streptophyta; Magnoliopsida; Malvales; Malvaceae. The record is from RNAcentral.
UUUGGGGGCCAAAUAUGGGUUUAGGGGCUUCGGAGGAGCCGGAUCUGAAGUUUUCCCCAUUUUCGGCCAACGCAGACGAUGGUGCCGGCGCCAGAGAUUGGUGGCCGAUGAUCGGCCGAUGAUCGGGCCUUGGCCGAAGAGCUGGAGAGGGGGAGAGCUUUUUCAGAGGUUUUUUUUUGUUUUUUUUUAAAAAAAGUGUUUAAAAUGAUUUUUUGUAGGGUUAGUGGUUUAUAUAGACGCCCAAAACGGCGUCGUUUUGGGGCAGAGGCCGACCCGACCCGGCCUAUGAUCCGCGUGUUUUUGAGCGGAGGGGCAAAUUGCACUUUUAGCCCCUCCGCCUUUUAAU